RNAcentral lists this ribosomal RNA (640 nucleotides) under Boophis luciae. RNAcentral describes it as "partial 16S ribosomal RNA". The stretch from base 1 to 437 matches the Rfam family "Bacterial large subunit ribosomal RNA", at positions 673 to 1300 of the family's 2925-position model. Lineage: Eukaryota; Metazoa; Chordata; Amphibia; Anura; Mantellidae. The record is from RNAcentral.
CUUAGCAGUUUACCAAGCAAAAGACUUUUAGUUUGCCACCCCGAAACUAAGUGAGCUACUUUAAAAUAGCUUUUUAGAGCUAAUCCGUCUCUGUUGCAAUAGAGUGGAACAAUUUUUAAGUAGAAGUGAUAAACCUAUCGAACUUAGUGAUAGCUGGUUUUUUAAGAAAAGAAUUUCAGUUCCGCCCUAAACCUCAAAUUAUUUUAAUAAUUAAAUUAGAUUUAGGAGUCAUUCAAAUAAGGAACAGCUUAUUUGAAAAAGGAUACAACCUAGAAUAUAGGGUAAGACGAAUAAAAAUUCAACAAGUCGGCCUGAAAGCAGCCACCUUCUAAAAAGCGUCAAAGCUUAGCAUCAAAAAAUAUUCAAUAUCACCAAAAACUUCCAACCCCUAAUUAAUAUUAAAAAACUCCAUAAUGUUAUGGAAGCUACUAUGCUAGAAUAAGUAAUAAGAAUAAGACUUUCUCCAAAAUGUAAGCUUAAGCCAUAAUAGACAGACUAUUGGCAAUCAACGUCUAUGAGUCAAUUAUAGUAACAUUAUCAAGAAAACACUACAUCUACGAACGUCAACCUUACACUAGUACAUUUAUGGAAAGAUUAAAAGAGUGAGAAGGAACUCGGCAAAUAUGGAUCCCGCCUGUUA